Molecule: ribosomal RNA, 558 nt
Filed under: uncultured bacterium
Lineage: Bacteria
Description: bacterial SSU rRNA
Rfam family: Bacterial small subunit ribosomal RNA
Source: RNAcentral
AAUAGAUACCCCGGUAGUCCACGCCGUAAACGAUGGAUGCUAGCUAUUGGGGGGAAUCGACCCCCUCCGAAGCGAAGCUAACGCGUUAAGCAUCCCGCCUGAGUAGUACGAGCGCAAGCUUAAAACUCAAAGGAAUUGACGGGGACCCGCACAAGCGGUGGAGCGUGUGGUUUAAUUCGAUGGUAAACGAAGAACCUUACCAAGGUUUGACAUCCCGGUAGCCGUUCUCCGAAAGGAGAAUUUCAUUUAGUUGGACCGGUGACAGGUGAUGCAUGGCCGUCGUCAGCUCGUGUCGUGAGAUGUUGGGUUAAGUCCCGCAACGAGCGUAACCCUUAUGAUUUAGUUGGAUUUUUCUAAACAGACUGCCCUGGUAACAGGGAGGAAGGAGGGGAUGAUGUCAGGUCAGUAUUUCCCUUACACCUUGGGGCGACACACGCGCUACAAUGGCCGGUACAAUGGGCAGCUAAGCCGCGAGGUGGAGCAAAUCCCAUCAAAGCCGGUCCCAGUUCGGAUUGCAGGCUGAAACCCGCCUGCAUGAAGCCGGAAUCGCUAGUAACC